Molecule: ribosomal RNA, 433 nt
Filed under: uncultured bacterium
Lineage: Bacteria
Description: partial 16S ribosomal RNA
Rfam family: Bacterial small subunit ribosomal RNA
Source: RNAcentral
AACGAACGCUGGCGGCAGGCUUAACACAUGCAAGUCGAACGCACCUUUCGUGGUGAGUGGCAGAUGGGUGAGUAACGCGUGGGAAUCUACCCUUCUCUACCGGAUUGCUCCUUUUAACUGGAAUUAAUACCGGAUACGUCCUGAUGAUGAAAGAUUUAUCGUGCAAGUAUGAGCCGGCGUUGUUUUAGCUAGUUGGUGGUGUAAGGGCCUACCAAGGCUACGAUCCAUAGCUGGUCUAAGAGGAUGGUCCGCCACAUUGGGACUGAGAAACGGCCCAAACUCUUGCGGGAGGCGGCAGUGCGGAAUAUUGGCAAAUGGGGGGAAGCCAGAACCAGCCAUGCCGGGUAAGUGAUGAAGGUCCUAGAGUUGUACAGCUCUUUAAGUGGGGACGGUAAUGACGGUACCCAAAGAAGAAGCACCGGCUAACUUCGUG